This 788-nucleotide long non-coding RNA is filed under the name Helianthus annuus (common sunflower). RNAcentral's name for it is "hypothetical non coding rna". The record is from RNAcentral. Lineage: Eukaryota; Viridiplantae; Streptophyta; Magnoliopsida; Asterales; Asteraceae.
UUCACAUAUUUCUUCUCUACUUUCUAUCUGGAAGUUCCUGGUCAUAUCGGAGCAUCCCUUUGAUUUCCAAACAUUCUAAGGAUCACUUCCCGUCAUUCCCUGUUUACAUGUUGGCUUGGGAUACGGUAAAUUCUUACUGCUUAGUCAGGCAUGCGAUCAAAUGUUGGAUUGUGACUAGAAAAUCCACAUAACCCGUUUUAAUCUGUUUUGUCUGAUAACUUAAACAUUGAGGGUUAACGCGACCGUGUCCUGGAUAUCCUCAGCUCAUUUAAUGGCAAAUGGCCACGACUUAAGCACGGGGUGUAGGCAUACACCUGACAGAUGCUAAUGCUAUUAAAAUAUUUUCUACCCAUAUUGGGGUACCCUUUUAUGGGUUAAAAGCGGUGUGUCGGUUAAUCAUGUUAUUCAGUUUCUGUACAAGGCCUCAUAUGUAUUAACAGGCAUGUAAAACUUUAUACAAGAUAAUUAUUAUUGUCCCAAGUUAUUUAUAAAAUUACAUGUGCCUUUGUGCACUUAAAACAAUUUGGAAUAUUUUCAAAAUGUGUCGGUUACUUGUGUCUACCGAGGUAAACUGACGUAUCUUCAAAAGACUAAGUGACAGGUUGCAAGGUUACAAAAUAGGCUGGAAGUGCCAGUAAUGCUUAAGAGGAAUUUGCGACUCCUUGCAUUAGAAGCCUAUUAGUUUGUUAUUUCAUUUUGUACAUUUACGAUCCGCCUGUGGAUCUUUUGAUACAUUAUCCGUCUGUAUAAUAUUUUGAACACUCGGACAUUUAUAUUGUAAUAUUUUA